GACGAACGCUGGCGGCGUGCCUAAUACAUGCAAGUCGAACGGAAAGGCCCUGCUUUUGUCGGGUGCUCGAGUGGCGAACGGGUGAGUAACACGUGGGUAACCUGCCCUUGACUUUGGGAUAACUUCAGGAAACUGGGGCUAAUACCGGAUAGGAGUACCUGCUGCAUGGCGUGGGUUGGAAAGUUUCGGCGGUUGGGGAUGGACUCGCGGCUUAUCAGCUUGUUGGUGGGGUAGUGGCUUACCAAGGCUUUGACGGGUAGCCGGCCUGAGAGGGUGACCGGCCACAUUGGGACUGAGGUACGGGCCAGACUGCUUCGGGAGGCAGCGGUGGGGAAUAUUGCACAAUGGGCGGAAGCCUGAUGCAGCAACGCCGCGUGCGGGAUGACGGCCUUCGGGUUGUAAACCGCGUUCGCCUGUGACGAAGCGUGAGUGACGGUAAUGGGUAAAGAAGCACCGGCUAACUACGUG
Molecule: ribosomal RNA, 468 nt
Filed under: uncultured bacterium
Lineage: Bacteria
Description: partial 16S ribosomal RNA
Rfam family: Bacterial small subunit ribosomal RNA
Source: RNAcentral